UNGGCUCAGGACGAACGCUGGCGGCGUGCCUAAUACAUGCAAGUCGAGCGGACAGAUGGGAGCUUGCUCCCUGAUGUUAGCGGCGGACGGGUGAGUAACACGUGGGUAACCUGCCUGUAAGACUGGGAUAACUCCGGGAAACCGGGGCUAAUACCGGAUGGUUGUUUGAACCGCAUGGUUCAGACAUAAAAGGUGGCUUCGGCUACCACUUACAGAUGGACCCGCGGCGCAUUAGCUAGUUGGUGAGGUAACGGCUCACCAAGGCGACGAUGCGUAGCCGACCUGAGAGGGUGAUCGGCCACACUGGGACUGAGACACGGCCCAGACUCCUACGGGAGGCAGCAGUAGGGAAUCUUCCGCAAUGGACGAAAGUCUGACGGAGCAACGCCGCGUGAGUGAUGAAGGUUUUCGGAUCGUAAAGCUCUGUUGUUAGGGAAGAACAAGUGCCGUUCAAAUAGGGCGGCACCUUGACGGUACCUAACCAGAAAGCCACGGCUAACUACGUGCCAGCAGCCGCGGUAAUACGUAGGUGGCAAGCGUUGUCCGGAAUUAUUGGGCGUAAAGGGCUCGCAGGCGGUUUCUUAAGUCUGAUGUGAAAGCCCCCGGCUCAACCGGGGAGGGUCAUUGGAAACUGGGGAACUUGAGUGCAGAAGAGGAGAGUGGAAUUCCACGUGUAGCGGUGAAAUGCGUAGAGAUGUGGAGGAACACCAGUGGCGAAGGCGACUCUCUGGUCUGUAACUGACGCUGA
RNAcentral lists this ribosomal RNA (748 nucleotides) under Bacillus siamensis. RNAcentral's name for it is "bacterial SSU rRNA". It matches the Rfam family "Bacterial small subunit ribosomal RNA", at positions 19 to 749 of the family's 1533-position model. The record is from RNAcentral. Lineage: Bacteria; Bacillati; Bacillota; Bacilli; Caryophanales; Bacillaceae.